RNAcentral lists this long non-coding RNA (1175 nucleotides) under Homo sapiens (human). RNAcentral's name for it is "HSALNT0306277". Lineage: Eukaryota; Metazoa; Chordata; Mammalia; Primates; Hominidae. The record is from RNAcentral.
AGACCUAUGAAGGUCGAAGGGGAAGAAAAGCUGUAUCGAUUGUUGAGAUCUGGCGACUUGUUUAAAUUUCAUCAGCCUCACUUCUAUGAACUCUCAGAGCUGAUUACCAACUCCUACCACUGUUAACCCUCAUCCAGGAACAAGCUUAUGUCUUUAACAUUCUGAGUGGGCUUCAGCAUCCUUGCAUAUGUUCAAUUCUUAAAAACCUGUUGAAAUAAAAGAUCAGGAGACAUAGGAAGGAUGCCAGAAGAGAGCGUGGCCUCACGUGUACCAGCUCUCUGCUCUCCUUUGCCUUGGGACGUUCCAUCCCUGGAAGUUUCCCUGCCCACAUCUUUGUAGAGAGUCCAUUCUCCAAGCUUCAGUGUGUCAUCUGUGAGGACCGUGACCCACCUGGUACAUCGCCUCAGGGCAUUCAUUUCAGGCUCCUUCUAAAUGGCCAAGUUUUGAAAUGGAAUUGCCAGCAUGCUAAAGAUACACCAUUCAGUUCUCAUCCCACUUUGCAUAGCUUGGAAUCUAUGAUCCUGCAAAUAUCUUUUAACUGCAUUUUGGUAAAUAUUUUAUUCUAUAAUAUUUUUAUAUAAUUAGGUAGCCCCAAUUGGUGAGGGUCAAUUAUUCAUGUGUAUACAAAUUUUUAUCUCACCCUCUGAAUACCUAUUUAUGGGAUCAAAGUUCUAUUUCAUAUUCUCAAAAUACAUUUUAUCUAGUUAUUCUCCUCUAUGCUGUUGUCCUACUCCAAUAUAGUGUAACCAGACAGAUGUAUUGCUAUCCAUUGAAACUAGCCAAAUGUUGGGAUUUUAUUCCCAUCAGAUCAAGCAUAUCCACAGAUGGGAUGAAGAGAAUGAUUCAGCUGCUUCUCAAAAUCCCUACCUCAUUGGCAAGGACUUUUCAACUGUGGCUGCGCCUAAGACAAUUUUAGCAAAAACCAUGUGGGAAAAAUGUAGGAAAUUGUUAGUGCCCAAUAUACAGACGAUAGCAAUACAAGGUGCAAUCUAAAAAGGAAGAUAAUUAACAGCCAUAUGGGUAACUUCAGUUCAUAUUUUUGCAAAGAACUUUGGGAAUAUUGACUCAUGGAAAUGGAGCCUGUGUAAGACACAAAUGAUACUUUUGAACAUCUGCCAGCAAGUAUGUCAACUACCUGUCCAAGAAAAUAAAGAACUAUUGUUGCUCCAGCUCAA